CCGAGUUUACAACUCCCAAACCCCUGUGAACAUACCACUAUGUUGCCUCGGCGGAUCAGCCCGCGCCCCGUAAAACGGACGGCCCGCCAGAGGAACCCUAAACUCUGUUUCUAUAGUGGAACUUCUGAGUAAAACCAUAAAUAAAUCA
Molecule: unclassified non-coding RNA, 148 nt
Filed under: soil metagenome
Description: partial internal transcribed spacer 1
Source: RNAcentral